Molecule: long non-coding RNA, 765 nt
Organism: Hyla sarda
Lineage: Eukaryota; Metazoa; Chordata; Amphibia; Anura; Hylidae
Exons: 3
Source: RefSeq, a predicted model, not a curated record
CUUUGUUAUGUCUCACAGAGGAAAAAGACAGAGGAACAGAAUCUACCUAAAGGAAUUCUUUAAAAUAAGACAAGAACACUGUUCCCAUUAUCAGGAGUCCUGCAGGACCAGCCCUUUAGUGGAAGAGUUCCCAUACUUUUUUUUCCCCCGAGAGUAGCUGGAGACAAUACUGCCAUACUGUAAAUAAAAGGACUACAAAACUUCCUUUCAGAGGAAACCAUUGAUCAAUGAUUCUGCCGCUUGACUGCUCAUGUCUGGAUCUCAUCGCGGCGACCCCGAACAGAUGCUUAAUUUCAGAAGGAAAAUGCUAAAUAGCAUAAAGAAUGCAUGCAAUAUAUAAGAACAAGGGAAUGUAAUUCAUGUGGCAUUUUUAGCACUUUGUAAUACAUUUGUUGAAGUCAGGAGGAUACUGCUACUGUGUGGUCAAGGUGUAGCAAUCAAGAAUAAUCAUGAUGCCCAAGUUUUUAUUAUACCCAGUUGAUAAGCCUGCAGGGGCCCAAAGUAAAUUGCUGAAUAAACCAAAAUUGAGCAUACUAGUGUGGUGAGGGUGGGAUGAGGGCAGAUGGAAUUACCCUAGGGGCAGAUGGCAUUAAUCCCUUGUGUUCGUGAUGCCAGGGCAUGGUUUAAUCUCUUCACCACCCGAAGGUAUACCGCUGGAUCCUGGGCUAGGCACGGGGGCAAAUAAUGACUCUGAUGCCAAGUUACGGAACAAUGGCAGCUUUAUUGAGGUAGACAGGUGUAACAGUCUUAACAGUUUAUACAGGC